Non-coding RNA from Podarcis muralis (Common wall lizard), 360 nucleotides. Lineage: Eukaryota; Metazoa; Chordata; Lepidosauria; Squamata; Lacertidae. The record is from RefSeq and is a predicted model, not a curated record.
UGUGGAGGAAAUGCCUAACUCACUGAGGGUUUGAGACCCAUCAGCUACCCUUACCUGGUUUAGCCAGCCAGUCAAAGCCAUUCCCCGGGGUGUGACGAUGUUGCAUGCUGACAGCUUCUAGGAGCCACAGGAUUCCUUACAUGCCCUUCACUGCCAGGUCCCAGGGCAGGUUACGACAAUAGCACCUGCAAUUAUGAAAACAGCAAAAACCCAUGACGCAUAAAACCAUUCCAAAUGGAACAGAACAAUAUAAAUUCAGCCAAAGAGAGAGCCCAUGGGAUGAUAAAAGUGUGCAUUCUCAUCGCAUCAAGUCCAGCAAAGGCAUCUUCUUCAGUUAUUUCAGUCCUCAAAAAUUACUGA